AGAGUUUGAUUCUGGCUCAGGACGAACGCUGGCGGCGUGCCGAGACAUGCAAGUCGAACGCUUUUUCUUUCACCGGAGCUUGCUCCACCGAAAGAAAAAGAGUGGCGAACGGGUGAGUAACACGUGGGUAACCUGCCCAUCAGAAGGGGAUAACACUUGGAAACAGGUGCUAAUACCGUAUAACACUAUUUUCCGCAUGGAAGAAAGUUGAAAGGCGCUUUUGCGUCACUGAUGGAUGGACCCGCGGUGCAUUAGCUAGUUGGUGAGGUAACGGCUCACCAAGGCCACGAUGCAUAGCCGACCUGAGAGGGUGAUCGGCCACACUGGGACUGAGACACGGCCCAGACUCCUACGGGAGGCAGCAGUAGGGAAUCUUCGGCAAUGGACGAAAGUCUGACCGAGCAACGCCGCGUGAGUGAAGAAGGUUUUCGGAUCGUAAAACUCUGUUGUUAGAGAAGAACAAGGAUGAGAGUAGAACGUUCAUCCCUUGACGGUAUCUAACCAGAAAGCCACGGCUAACUACGUGCCAGCAGCCGCGGUAAUACGUAGGUGGCAAGCGUUGUCCGGAUUUAUUGGGCGUAAAGCGAGCGCAGGCGGUUUCUUAAGUCUGAUGUGAAAGCCCCCGGCUCAACCGGGGAGGGUCAUUGGAAACUGGGAGACUUGAGUGCAGAAGAGGAGAGUGGAAUUCCAUGUGUAGCGGUGAAAUGCGUAGAUAUAUGGAGGAACACCAGUGGCGAAGGCGGCUCUCUGGUCUGUAACUGACGCUGAGGCUCGAAAGCGUGGGGAGCGAACAGGAUUAGAUACCCUGGUAGUCCACGCCGUAAACGAUGAGUGCUAAGUGUUGGAGGGUUUCCGCCCUUCAGUGCUGCAGCAAACGCAUUAAGCACUCCGCCUGGGGAGUACGACCGCAAGGUUGAAACUCAAAUGAAUUGACGGGG
Molecule: ribosomal RNA, 938 nt
Filed under: uncultured Bacillota bacterium
Lineage: Bacteria; Bacillati; Bacillota
Description: bacterial SSU rRNA
Rfam family: Bacterial small subunit ribosomal RNA
Source: RNAcentral